Molecule: transfer RNA, 72 nt
Filed under: Marmota marmota marmota (Alpine marmot)
Lineage: Eukaryota; Metazoa; Chordata; Mammalia; Rodentia; Sciuridae
Also listed under: 1 other name
Rfam family: tRNA
About the family: Transfer RNA (tRNA) molecules are approximately 80 nucleotides in length. Their secondary structure includes four short double-helical elements and three loops (D, anti-codon, and T loops).
Source: Rfam by way of RNAcentral
UGGGGUGUGGCUCGGUGGUACAGUGCUUGCCUAGUACAUGUGAGGCCCUGGGUUCCAUUCCCAGCACCAUAA